Molecule: ribosomal RNA, 464 nt
Filed under: uncultured bacterium
Lineage: Bacteria
Description: partial 16S ribosomal RNA
Rfam family: Bacterial small subunit ribosomal RNA
Source: RNAcentral
GACGAACGCUGGCGGCGUGCUUAACACAUGCAAGUCGAGCGGAAAGGCCCUUUCGGGGGUCCUCGAGCGGCGAACGGGUGCGUAACACGUGAGUAAUCUGCCCUUCACUUGGGGAUAACCUCCGGAAACGGUGGCUAAUACCCGAUACGACCAUUCCUCGCAUGAGGUGGUGGUGGAAAGUUUUUCGGUGGGGGAUGUGCUCGCGGCCUAUCAGCUUGUUGGUGGGGUAAUGGCCUACCAAGGCUUCGACGGGUAGCCGGCCUGGGAGGGUGACCGGCCACACUGGGACUGAGACACGGCCCAGACUCCUACGGGAGGCAGCAGUGGGGAAUAUUGGACAAUGGGCGGAAGCCUGAUCCAGCAACGCCGCGUGAGGGAUGACGGCCUUCGGGUUGUAAACCUCUUUCACCUGUGACGAAGCGAAAGUGACGGUAGCAGGAGAAGAAGCACCGGCCAACUACGUG